Molecule: long non-coding RNA, 1385 nt
Filed under: Coturnix japonica (Japanese quail)
Lineage: Eukaryota; Metazoa; Chordata; Aves; Galliformes; Phasianidae
Description: lncRNA (ENSCJPG00005011403.1)
Source: RNAcentral
AAAAAGAGAAGGAAAAUGAGAUUUGUCAAAGCUGCUGUCCUGCUUUGAAGGGCCACUCCCAGCGCUGAUGAAAGCCGCUGUGAGCAGGGAAACCUCCGCACAGGGCAAGGAAGCCUGGGGAAGCACCGCAGCGCUCGGGACGGGAGCUGAUUCCCAUGGUGAAUCCCAUAGCACCACCCAGCCCGGGAUGCGCGGCGGAGACCGGCACCGGUUUGGGAGCGGGGAGCGGAGCCGAUCCCCGCCUGCGUCACCGCGGCGCACGGAGAGCUUUCUAGAUGACUUGGCAUCCUGUCCCGUUAAUAAUAGAAAGCGAGGCUGCCCGGAUUCUGUGUUCUGGCAAUUUGUCAGAAGGGAUUUUUUGACAAUUUCACUGAACCAUGCUUGAGAGCGGGUUAACCCCUCACGAGCUUAGCGCGUUUUCUUCUCCUUUCCACUGGCUCGGAGUGGUUUGUUACGGCUGCCUUCAUUAGCAGGAAGCGGGAUGGACGGGCGGAUGGAUGGGUGGCUAUCCGUUCCUCGGGCUCUGCAUUCAAAAUCCUCUUUGACAUCUCCCUGCGCAUUCAAACUCUCGGUCCUCUGGAUAAUGAGAUACUCUCCGUUCCUCGGGGACACCUAAACAGCGGGAUAAUUGCAGCGGUACUGUUAGAGAUGUCUCCAAAUGCACUGAACCGUGGCACAUCCCUGAGCUAGGUACGCACUGCCAGCACUCCCCAGGCACAGGCUGGGCUCCUGCACUCUGCUUGCCCUUAUGUUUGCUGGAGGAGCCCCACUGCAGACCCUCAGACCUUGCACAGCAUCUGCCCCACACUUUCAGACACAUCCAGAGCUUUGCUGCUCUGGAUGUGAAGCUUUAUUAUGCAGAGGGGUCUGAUGGGGAUGGAGAUGGCCAUUGAACCCACCACCAUUGUGCCUGGUCCCUCUGGUGAAACACCAGCCUCUCUGGGUGCUCCAUGAGCCCAAGGAAAGGCAAUACUGCAAUAGGUGCCUAUUUGUCCUUUCUGUGGGAUGUUUAGAAGUGUUUCAUCACCACCUCCUCUCACCAGCAUCACAGAGAGAUGUAUUGGAGACCUUCCUCAGGCCUGGCCUAUACUCACAGGAUGUGUGUUCAGACACAAAUGCCCUUUGAGCACACAUGGACACUGAAGCACGUCCACUCUGCCUAAUCUAUUUCUAUCCAUAUCAGCAUCGUCAAAUUUCGCAAGCUAAGUGGUGGGGAGCAAGCACAUCUGAAAUGACAAGAGAGCAUCCUGGAGGGACACGGAUCCCAGAGCAGGCAGUGGUCUGCAGUGGGGAUGUGUGGUCUCGAGCUGCUGUGUCUUUGAUUUUGCUAUAUAUUUGCAGUACCUGAACAAGGCUGUCAGCCACUGCUGUAGCCAGAGGCUGGU